This 69-nucleotide transfer RNA is filed under the name Marmota monax (woodchuck). RNAcentral's name for it is "tRNA.Ala". Lineage: Eukaryota; Metazoa; Chordata; Mammalia; Rodentia; Sciuridae. The record is from RNAcentral.
GGUUGUGGCUCAGCGGUAGAGUGCUCGCCUCGCAUGUGUGAGACCCUGGGUUCACGAUCAUCAGCACCA